GGCACUUUCUGGGUCUAGAAUUCUGGGGAGGUGACAAGGUCGCCGUCUGCAGUCUUCCUGGAAGGAAAGGGUUAAACACGGCGAAGCCUGGGAGCCUGCGGGAGUGGUGUGCUCACCAGUGCACCUGCCUGUGGGGCUGUCCCUCCAUCUCUGCCCGCACCACCCCCCACACCGCGGAGGGGGGAUGCUGGGCUUUCCGGUCUUGCUUAGUGUGCUUGACCAAAGGUGACUUCAUGGUCUAAGGUCGUGCCCUCCCCCCUUCUGAAUCGAUAAUUUAAUGUGACUUAUCAGAAAGGGAAAGAACUGUUUACUUUAAAAGCCUGGAUCCCAUAAAGGGAGAGGGACAAGGCCUAAAACCCACAGAAGCCCUGGGCUCGCGCCCACGGCCGCCCCCACGCAGAACAGGGAGCCUGGACCAGAGAAGGGGCCCUGGGCUGAGGACUCGAGCAACUGAAAGAUUAUUGAGAGCCAGAGCACACAGAGCUGACCGGGGGAAGUGGAGGGGCCGGAUGCUGCUAUGGGACACUGGAAAAGCCAGGCCUGUGAUUUCCAAUUUAGGCUGAAAUGAACAUCCUGGUAAUCCCAGCCCUCACGCUCUAUGUAUCAUACUGCCCCCAAGUGGUAGGCUAUGUCCCUGCAUGUCAUAACCUCAGUGGUUCCAAAGGAUUUCACCUUUGCUGCCUCCGUGUUCCAAACUGAUGGCAUUGAGAACUUCCCCGGCAGCAGAAUCAGCUUUUUGGAUAAGUUGUUGAAAAAAAUCAAAAGAUGAAUACUGCUUCACGCCGUGGGAAAUACCUAUGGAAUUCACAUCUCAGUGUCCACACAUGAAGUUUAAUUGCAAUUUACCAAUGGGCCUCAUUCGCCCAGACUAACCCAGGUUAGCAUGGAACAUCUUAGAUCCUGGAAGCCCCCCUCAGUCCUGGGCGAAUUGGGAAGGCUGGCCACCUGGGACGCAGCCAGGCUCAUUUCUUUACACGUUGUCUGCGGCUGCCUUCACGCUCCGAUGGCAGAGUGCUUAUGACAGCGGCCAUAUGGCUCGCAAAACCCAAACUAUGUACUGCCUCACAUAUUUAUAGGAAAAGUUUGCUGACCCCUGAUUAAGACCAAGGGAGAGUAGAUAAUUAAUCUGAUAAGGCAAAAAGAUAUAACUGAUCGCUACUAUCAUGAGAGUCUUGGGAAAGCCUAUUUAUUUUCUUCACUGGAAGCUGAUUUAUGUUUAGAACUUAAAUUAGAUCAUGUCACCCACUGAGCCUAAAAUUCAAGGAUUUCCUACAUCCCCCUGGGACAAACCUCAUAUUUUUCCUGUUCUUCCCCUUGCUCACUCCACACCACACCCACUCUCUCACUCCUCCUCAAGCAUGUCAAGUGCAACCUGCCUCAGGACCUUUGCACCUACUGUUCCAUCUAUCCAGACCCUUCUCCCCAGAUAUAUGCACACCUUGCUCCUUCACCUCAUUCUUGUUUCUUUGAAGUUGUCUUUUAACUGAAGCCUUCCCCUCAUUGCAGCACUCUUUGCCUCCUGACAUCACUUAUUCAUUUGUUUAUUUUCUGUGUCCACACUACAAGACCAGACAUGCAAGAACAGGGGCCUUGCUAUGUCCCCAGCUCACAAAACAGUCCUGAUCACAUGGUGGGCUUGCAAUAAAUACUUGUUGGGUAAGUAAAUGGUUGGUAAAGUCAAGAAUUUUAUGUGUGUCUCUGGGGUAAGUCUCCACUCACUGGGCCCUAUUACUGCUCAUCAAUAUUUCAUUUUAUCCAAUAUCUGUCCUGUGACAAUUAUGUAGCCGACAGUCUCUGUCAUCCGCUGGCCCCUUUUCCUGCCAAACACCUUGUCUUUAAUCAUCUGACCGCCUGCAAGAAAAAAGUGCUGUGGAUAUUUGUGCCAGAUGUGAGCCUGAAAUGCUGCCACGUCUCUUGUCCUAAAGAUGGAUGCAUUACUCGCACGCCCAGGGGUGGAAUCGGGGCAAUUCUUCCACCCCCUAAAACCAACCAUGACAUUUCAUACUUAGAUGCGUUUUUCUAGGGGGAGGGUCCAGAGCUGUCAUCCAAUACUCAAGAAGGCUGAGCAGCUCUGUUGUUAAGCAACAGUCCAAUUGCCUAAACACGUGCCAAACUCUCUGGUGAGAUGACAGGCCCUCCCGCGGGGUGCCCUCUGCUCUCCAGUAUGUUUUCAUAGGGACUCGAGUUCCUGGGAUUCAGCUGGUACCACUGGGAUGCUCUCUGGGCCUCUCUGGAAGGUUCCUUCCCUCUGCCACGUUCUGAGAUUGUAAACACACCACCAGUCUCUUCGUGGGCUCCCCAGUGGCUGCCUCGAAGGGGCUUUUUUCUUGCAGGCGGUGAAAAGAGCUGGGCUGAGCCUCCCGCAAGGCAAGUGACACUGGGGCCAGAGAAACGCUCUGGGAAGAGCCCCCGGCCAGUGGUGGCAGAAGGGCUGGAAAUGCACUUCUCUGCGAAGGAAAGGGCCCAAGAGGAAGAGGCCGGAGGCGAAAGAAAACAUGCCCCCUGAGCAUCACCAGCUGGGAGCUUGUUAGGCCUGCAAAUCCUCUGCCCACUCCAGACCCAUUAAAGCUGCGACUGGGGGUGGGGACACCCUGUGCUUUAACAAGCCCUCAGGGUGCUGCUGAUGAGCCAUUGGGCUACAGGCCUGGCCCACUGUGCUGCUCAUUAGUGUUUGAUGAGAGAGCCACUGAGAGAAUCGAUCAACCAGAGACUCACAGCCUCAGCUGCACAUUAGCACCAUCUGAGAGCUUUAAAAACCCCUCCACCCAGGCCGUGCCCCAGGCCAAUUACAUAGACUCUCAGAGGGGGACCUGGGCAUUGACUUUUUAAAAGCACAGUAGGCCACUCUCAUGUGCAGCCAAAACUGAGCACCAGGCAGUAAACGAAGGCACUAGCAUCUGCAAGAUGCUCGAUUAUGAACGCCUUUGAGAGCGUUGCUUUUAAGGAACAACUUACAUAAAAUAAUAUAUCAAGUUACAGGUGUUUGAGAUAAAAUAAAGUUUUAUUUUUCUCUCCUUUAAUAAAAUUUAAAAAAAUUGGGUGGUAAAGAGCCAAGGACUGGGUUGUCAGCAAUUUAGGGUAGUUGACCUCUCGCGCCAUCCCCUUUAAAGAACACAGCGUAAGCUCCACCUGGAGGUUCAGCUUCGAUCUCAUUGGUCAGCACUGCCACAUAGGACUACCCUGGGC
This is a long non-coding RNA of Myotis daubentonii (Daubenton's bat), 3186 nucleotides long. RefSeq lists it as uncharacterized. The transcript has 4 exons. Lineage: Eukaryota; Metazoa; Chordata; Mammalia; Chiroptera; Vespertilionidae. The record is from RefSeq and is a predicted model, not a curated record.